RNAcentral lists this transfer RNA (78 nucleotides) under Deltaproteobacteria bacterium. Its description in RNAcentral is "tRNA-Pro". It matches the Rfam family "tRNA". Rfam says of the family: Transfer RNA (tRNA) molecules are approximately 80 nucleotides in length. Their secondary structure includes four short double-helical elements and three loops (D, anti-codon, and T loops). The record is from RNAcentral. Lineage: Bacteria; Pseudomonadati; Myxococcota; Myxococcia.
CGGGGAGUAGCGCAGACUGGUCAGCGCGCCUGCUUCGGGAGCAGGAGGCCGGGGGUUCAAAUCCCCCCUCCCCGACCA